GAUAAACUAGAAGUGUCAAACAACGUGUGAUUUAGAGUCUUCUAAUAGAAAUAAACAUUGGCUCCAUUGAGAAGAAAAUGUGCAAGACAUCUGUUGGACUAAGAGGAAUGGCAUUCAGCUGCUGAAGAAUUUUGCAAUUCUGUAAUUAGGCAUAUGAAUUUUAAGAGGUAAAAAUCUCUAGGGCCGUGAGAUAGAUGUGAGUAUAUUUCUUUCCUCUCCCACAGUCCAUGUGGAGGCUCAGCAUUCUUUAGUGACAUCGGGAUUAUUUCACAGGAAAAAGCAUAUCUGCUGGAAAGUGACAGAGGACAGACGGCUGCUUUCAAAAAGAGUCUGAGACAGCUGGUGAGAUCACUGAACCCGGCAGGCAGUAAGGGAGGAAGAGAUGGUUCUUGACCCCGGCAGGGCGGAGGUCAGAGCUGCAGCACCAGAGCUCUCAUGGUAUCUUCUCAGGCUAAUAAAAUUAAGACGUCUACUUCAGGUCAGAGAGACCACAAAACUCACCUGAGACAACUGAGCUAUUAAGAAGUGGAGUCUAUUGAAGGCCUGAAUAGAACAAAAUGGUGGAGAAAAUGAGGA
This 576-nucleotide long non-coding RNA is filed under the name Homo sapiens (human). RNAcentral's name for it is "HSALNT0128439". The record is from RNAcentral. Lineage: Eukaryota; Metazoa; Chordata; Mammalia; Primates; Hominidae.